This 528-nucleotide ribosomal RNA is filed under the name Pseudomonas savastanoi. RNAcentral's name for it is "bacterial SSU rRNA". It matches the Rfam family "Bacterial small subunit ribosomal RNA", at positions 87 to 614 of the family's 1533-position model. The record is from RNAcentral. Lineage: Bacteria; Pseudomonadati; Pseudomonadota; Gammaproteobacteria; Pseudomonadales; Pseudomonadaceae.
GGUGGCGAGCGGCGGACGGGUGAGAAUGCCUAGGAAUCUGCCUGGUAGUGGGGGAUAACGCUCGGAAACGGACGCUAAUACCGCAUACGUCCUACGGGAGAAAGCAGGGGACCCUCGGGCCUUGCGCUAUCAGAUGAGCCUAGGUCGGAUUAGCUAGUUGGUGAGGUAAUGGCUCACCAAGGCGACGAUCCGUAACUGGUCUGAGAGGAUGAUCAGUCACACUGGAACUGAGACACGGUCCAGACUCCUACGGGAGGCAGCAGUGGGGAAUAUUGGACAAUGGGCGAAAGCCUGAUCCAGCCAUGCCGCGUGUGUGAAGAAGGUCUUCGGAUUGUAAAGCACUUUAAGUUGGGAGGAAGGGCAGUAACCUAAUACCUGAUUGUUUUGACGUUACCGACAGAAUAAGCACCGGCUUACUCUGGGCCAGCAGCCGCGGUAAUACAGAAGGGUGCAGCGUUACUGGAAUUUACUGGGCGUAAAGCGCGCGUAUGGUGUUUGUUAAGUUGUGUGUGAAAUCCCCGGGCAACC